This 492-nucleotide ribosomal RNA is filed under the name uncultured bacterium. Its description in RNAcentral is "partial 16S ribosomal RNA". It matches the Rfam family "Bacterial small subunit ribosomal RNA", at positions 29 to 507 of the family's 1533-position model. The record is from RNAcentral.
AGUGAACGCUGGCGGUAGGCCUAACACAUGCAAGUCGAACGGCAGCACAGUAAGAGCUUGCUCUUACGGGUGGCGAGUGGCGGACGGGUGAGGAAUACAUCGGAAUCUACUUUUUCGUGGGGGAUAACGUAGGGAAACUUACGCUAAUACCGCAUACGACCUACGGGUGAAAGCAGGGGAUCUUCGGACCUUGCGCGAUUGAAUGAGCCGAUGUCGGAUUAGCUAGUUGGCGGGGUAAAGGCCCACCAAGGCGACGAUCCGUAGCUGGUCUGAGAGGAUGAUCAGCCACACUGGAACUGAGACACGGUCCAGACUCCUACGGGAGGCAGCAGUGUGCAAUAUUGGACAAUGGGCGCAAGCCUGAUCCAGCCAUACCGCGUGGGUGAAGACGGCCUUCGGGUUGUAAAGCCCUUUUGUUGGGAAAGAAAAGCAGCAGGUUAAUACCCCGCUGUUCUGACGGUACCCAAAGAAUAAGCACCGGCUAACUUCGUG